This 305-nucleotide unclassified non-coding RNA is filed under the name plant metagenome. Its description in RNAcentral is "partial contains 5.8S ribosomal RNA, internal transcribed spacer 2, and large subunit ribosomal RNA". The stretch from base 1 to 105 matches the Rfam family "5.8S ribosomal RNA", at positions 50 to 154 of the family's 154-position model. The record is from RNAcentral.
GAAAUGCGAUAAGUAGUGUGAAUUGCAGAAUUCAGUGAAUCAUCGAAUCUUUGAACGCACAUUGCGCCCCUUGGUAUUCCAUGGGGCAUGCCUGUUCGAGCGUCAUCUACACCCUCAAGCUCUGCUUGGUGUUGGGCGUCUGUCCCGCCCCCGCGCGUGGACUCGCCCCAAAUCCAUUGGCAGCGUUCCUUGCCCCCUCUCGCGCAGCACAUUGCGCUUCUCGAGGGCGGCUCCGGGACGUGAUCCAGCAAGAUGACCACCGUCUUUGACCUCGGAUCAGGUAGGGAUACCCGCUGAACUUAAGC